Molecule: ribosomal RNA, 442 nt
Filed under: uncultured bacterium
Lineage: Bacteria
Description: partial 16S ribosomal RNA
Rfam family: Bacterial small subunit ribosomal RNA
Source: RNAcentral
CCUACGGGUGGCUGCAGUAGGGAAUCUUUCACAAUGGGCGAAAGCCUGAUGGAGCAACGCCGCGUGCAGGAUGAAGGCCUUCGGGUUGUAAACUGCUUUUAUAAGCGAGAUAUAUGAUGUUAACUUAUGAAUAUUGAUCGUCUAGCAACGUGCCAGCCGCCGUGGUCCUACGUAGGAUCCGACGAUUAUCCGGAGUGACUGGGGGUAAAGAGUUGCGUAGGGGGCAUAAUAAGUAGUUAGUCAAAUCUGGUGGCUCAAACAUUCAGACUGUUAGCUAAACUGUUAAGCUCGAGACCGUUAGGGGUAACUGGAAUUUCUAGUGUAGGAGUGAAAUGCGUAGAUAUGAGGAAGAACACCAAUAGCGUAGGCAGGUUACUGCGACGGUUCUGACACUAAGGCACGAAAGCGUAGGGAGCAAACGGGAUUAGAUACCCCAGUAGUC